GAAGUUGAUCUGCCUCUGAAGAAAGAUGGGUUCACCUCAGAAAGUACAACUCUGGAAGCCUUGCUGCGUGGAGAGGGAAUAGAGAAAAAAACGGACACUAAAGAGGAAGACACUAUACAAGAAAUCCAGAGGGUUUUAGAAAAUGAUGAAAAUGCAGAUGAAGUGAAUGAGGAAGAGGAUUUGGAAGAAGAUAUUCCAAAACGAAAGAACAGGCCUAGAGGACGGCCAAAGACCCCCACCUGGAAAAAAAUUUUCCAGAAAAAUGCUCGGGGAUCUGGAGGUGGCAGGAGACGGAAUGAUGCUGCCUCCCAGGAUGAUCAUGACAAACCCUAUGUUUGUGACA
Molecule: non-coding RNA, 343 nt
Organism: Balearica regulorum gibbericeps (East African grey crowned-crane)
Lineage: Eukaryota; Metazoa; Chordata; Aves; Gruiformes; Gruidae
Source: RefSeq, a predicted model, not a curated record